AAGUCGUAACAAGGUUUCCGUAGGUGAACCUGCGGAAGGAUCAUUAAUGAAUUGUUCGAAUAAUCUAUGCGGACAAAUUCUUUAAAUCCGUAUCCACACCGGCCGGGGGGGUUCAAUGAUGGACCUUUUCGGCCGUAGGGGGUGUUUUGUUUUUCACUCAGGGCUCUCUCUGGGGGGGGCCCUGGGCGAAAAGGAGACAUCCCUGUCUGACCUUUGCCUAAAAUUGAUCUUUUUGACUGAAACUUUUUGAUAAAAAUCAAAUCAAAAACAACUUUCAACAACGGAUCUCUUGGCUCUC
Molecule: unclassified non-coding RNA, 298 nt
Filed under: Calcarisporiella thermophila
Lineage: Eukaryota; Fungi; Calcarisporiellomycota; Calcarisporiellomycetes; Calcarisporiellales; Calcarisporiellaceae
Description: partial internal transcribed spacer region
Rfam family: Eukaryotic small subunit ribosomal RNA (bases 1-46)
Source: RNAcentral